AGUGAACGCUGGCGGUAGGCCUAACACAUGCAAGUCGAACGGCAGCACAGUAAGAGCUUGCUCUUACGGGUGGCGAGUGGCGGACGGGUGAGGAAUACAUCGGAAUCUACUUUUUCGUGGGGGAUAACGUAGGGAAACUUACGCUAAUACCGCAUACGACCUACGGGUGAAAGCAGGGGAUCUUCGGACCUUGCGCGAUUGAAUGAGCCGAUGUCGGAUUAGCUAGUUGGCGGGGUAAAGGCCCACCAAGGCGACGAUCCGUAGCUGGUCUGAGAGGAUGAUCAGCCACACUGGAACUGAGACACGGUCCAGACUCCUACGGGAGGCAGCAGUGGGGAAUAGUGGACAAUGGGCGCAAGCAUGAUCCAGCCAUACCGAGUGGGUGAAGAAGGCCUUCGGGUUGUAAAGCCCUUUUGUUGGGAAAGAAAAGCAGCAGGUUAAUACCCCGCUGUUCUGACGGUACCCAAAGAAUAAGCACCGGCUAACUUCGUG
This 492-nucleotide ribosomal RNA is filed under the name uncultured bacterium. Its description in RNAcentral is "partial 16S ribosomal RNA". It matches the Rfam family "Bacterial small subunit ribosomal RNA", at positions 29 to 507 of the family's 1533-position model. The record is from RNAcentral.